RNAcentral lists this ribosomal RNA (255 nucleotides) under uncultured bacterium. Its description in RNAcentral is "partial 16S ribosomal RNA". It matches the Rfam family "Bacterial small subunit ribosomal RNA", at positions 524 to 776 of the family's 1533-position model. The record is from RNAcentral.
UACAGAGGGUGCGAGCGUUUGUCCGGAAUCACUGGGCGUAAAGGGCGCGUAGGUGGUGGCUUAAGCGUGCGGUGAAAGCUCGGGGCUCAACUCCGAGUCGGCCGUGCGAACUGGGCUCACUGGAGCAUAGUAGAGGCAGGUGGAAUUCCGGGUGUAGCGGUGGAAUGCGCAGAUAUCAGGAGGAACACCAAUAGCGAAGGCAGCUCGCUGGGACGUUACUGACACUGAGGCGCGAAAGCGUGGGGAGCGAACAGG